GUGGGGAAUAUUGGGCAAUGGGCGAAAGCCUGACCCAGCAACGCCGCGUGAAGGAAGAAGGUUUUCGGAUCGUAAACUUCUAUCCUUGGUGAAGAUAAUGACGGUAGCCAAGAAGGAAGCCCCGGCUAACUACGUGCCAGCAGCCGCGGUAAUACGUAGGGGGCAAGCGUUGUCCGGAAUGAUUGGGCGUAAAGGGCGCGUAGGCGGCCCGGUAAGUCUGAAGUGAAAGUCCUGCUUUUAAGGUGGGAAUUGCUUUGGAUACUGUCGGGCUUGAGUGCAGGAGAGGUAAGCGGAAUGCCCGGUGUAGCGGUGAAAUGCGUAGAGAUCGGGAGGAACACCAGUGGCGAAGGCGGCUUACUGGACUGUAACUGACGCUGAGGCGCGAAAGUGUGGGGAGCAAACAGGAUUAGAAACCCUAGUAGUCC
This 425-nucleotide ribosomal RNA is filed under the name uncultured bacterium. RNAcentral's name for it is "partial 16S ribosomal RNA". It matches the Rfam family "Bacterial small subunit ribosomal RNA", at positions 354 to 796 of the family's 1533-position model. The record is from RNAcentral.